RNAcentral lists this ribosomal RNA (342 nucleotides) under Triticum aestivum (bread wheat). RNAcentral's name for it is "partial small subunit ribosomal RNA". Lineage: Eukaryota; Viridiplantae; Streptophyta; Magnoliopsida; Poales; Poaceae. The record is from RNAcentral.
AUGGAAACCGCCUUCAAGACAAAAGAAGGGUUGUUUGAAUGGCUAGUCAUGCCAUUUGGACUCUCAAAUGCACGAAGUACCUUUAUGUGCUUGAUGAAUCAAGUCCUUAGACCCUUCUUAUCCGACUUUGUUGUGGUCUAUUUCGAUGACAUCUUGAUCUAUAGCAAGGAUGAGGAUGAACACUUUGAUCACAUUCGGAAGGUGCUAGAAGUACUAAGGGAAAAUGAGCUCUACAUCAACUUGAAGAAAUGUGUUUUCCUGCAAACACAACUUCUUUUCCUAGGAUUCGUCAUAACAUGUGACGGUAUUCGUGUUGAUGAUUCUAAGGUUGAAGCAAUUUGA